UCCUUCACCUCCGCAACCAGUGAUGGUGACAACGGAGCAAUUCAACCUGCUCUUUCAAUAGGUUCAGAUCCUAAUGGCCACCAUCCAGUCGAUCUAAGGCCCUCCGGCACCCCCAUCAGUGGUGCCAUCCCCCUAUCAAGCCACUCUGGCUCCACCAUCUACAGCUCCACACCCAAACCCGAUGCCGCAAGCGGUGGCACCACAACCUAAUCAGCCACAAGAUGCUCCUCAUAGUCCAGGGAGGAGGCAGACCCACCAAAGCCACCCCAGAAGUCCGAAACUAAGGUGGCGGUGAUCCCCAAGUCUCUGAUCAGGGCAUGACUCCACCCC
RNAcentral lists this long non-coding RNA (330 nucleotides) under Elaeis guineensis (African oil palm). RNAcentral's name for it is "long non-coding RNA (EGUI_LNC040967)". Lineage: Eukaryota; Viridiplantae; Streptophyta; Magnoliopsida; Arecales; Arecaceae. The record is from RNAcentral.